RNAcentral lists this ribosomal RNA (2860 nucleotides) under seawater metagenome. RNAcentral's name for it is "bacterial LSU rRNA". It matches the Rfam family "Bacterial large subunit ribosomal RNA". The record is from RNAcentral.
UCAAGUGAAUAAGUGCAUAUGGUGAAUGCCUUGGCGAUUACAGGCGAUGAAGGACGUGGUAGUCUGCGAAAUUUUUCGGGGAGCUGGCAAACAAGCUUUGAUCCGGAAGUGUCCGAAUGGGGAAACCCACCCGCAAGGGUAUCCAUCUCUGAAUUCAUAGGAGAUGUGAAGCAAACCGAGUGAACUGAAACAUCUUAGUAACUCGAGGAAAAGAAAUCAACCGAGAUUCCGGUAGUAGCGGCGAGCGAAACCGGAACAGCCUGUUAUUUUUAGCACACGCGUUAAUAGAACGGAAUGGAAAGUCCGGCCGUAGAGGGUGAUAGUCCCGUAUAUGAAAGCCCGUGUGUGGAACUAGGAUAACGAUAAGUAGGACGGGACACGUGAAAUCUUGUCUGAAUAUGGGGGGACCAUCCUCCAAGGCUAAAUACUCGUAAUCGACCGAUAGUGAACUAGUACCGUGAGGGAAAGGUGAAAAGAACCCCGGGAGGGGAGUGAAAUAGAUUCUGAAACCGUAUGCAUACAAACAGUAGGAGCCCUUCGGGGUGACUGCGUACCUUUUGUAUAAUGGGUCAGCGACUUACAUUCAGUAGCAAGCUUAACCGAUAGGGAAGGCGUAGCGAAAGCGAGUCCUAAUAGGGCGUCCUAGUUACUGGGUGUAGACCCGAAACCAAGUGAUCUAUCCAUGGCCAGGAUGAAGGUGCCGUAACAGGUACUGGAGGUCCGAACCCACAAAUGUUGAAAAAUUUGGGGAUGAGCUGUGGAUAGGGGUGAAAGGCUAAUCAAACUUGGAGAUAGCUGGUUCUCUCCGAAAACUAUUUAGGUAGUACCUCGUAUCUUACUCUCGGGGGUAGAGCACUGUUAUGGCUAGGGGGUCCUUAAGGACUUACCAAACCAUUGCAAACUCCGAAUACCGAGAAGUACAAUUACGGGAGACAGACAGCGGGUGCUAACGUCCGUUGUCGAGAGGGAAACAACCCAGACCGCCAGCUAAGGUCCCAAAUAUAUGCUAAGUGGUAAACGAAGUGAGAAGGCCCAGACAGCCAGGAGGUUGGCUUAGAAGCAGCCACCCUUUAAAGAAAGCGUAAUAGCUCACUGGUCAAGUUUUUCUGCGCCGUAAAUAUAACGGGGCUAAAGUGAAGCACCGAAGCUGGAAAUUCCUAAUUUAUUAGGAGUGGUAGGGGAGCGUUCCAACAACAGUGAAGCAGGCGCGUGAGCAACUGUGGAGUGGUUGGAAGUGAGAAUGUUGGCGUGAGUAGCGAUAAACUGGGUGAAAAACCCAGUCGCCGGAAGCCCAAGGUUUCCUGUCCAAGGAUCAUCCGGGCAGGGUUAGUCGGCCCCUAAGGUGUAGCCGAAAGGCGUAGCCGAUGGGAAUCUGGUUAAUAUUCCAGAACCAACUAUGAGGAGCAGUGGGAUGACGGAGCAGGGUAGGUCAGCCGGUCAUUGGAUUCCGGUCUAAGCGAGUAGGCAGUCUGUGUAGGAAAAAAACGCAUGGGCGACGUCGAGACGUGAUGGUGAAGGCACUUGUGCCGAAAUGAUUGAUCCCAAACUUCCAAGAAAAGUCCCGGGCUGUGUUGAAUCAUAGGUGACCGUACCGCAAACCGACUCAGGUGGGCAGGUGGAGAACACCAAGGCGCUCGAGAGAACCCUGGUUAAGGAACUAGGCAAAUUGACACUGUAACUUCGGGAUAAAGUGUGCCAUUGGUAUGUGAAGCGAUUUACUCGUGGAGCAGAAGAUGGUUGCAACAAAGCGGCGGUAGCGACUGUUUACUAAAAACACAGGACUCUGCGAAAGCGCAAGCUGACGUAUAGGGUCUGACGCCUGCCCGGUGCUGGAAGGUUAAAAGGAGCUGUCAACUUCGGUGAAGCAGUGAAUUGAAGCCCCAGUAAACGGCGGCCGUAACUAUAACGGUCCUAAGGUAGCGAAAUUCCUUGUCGGGUAAGUUCCGACCUGCACGAAUGGCGUAACGACUUCCGCGCUGUCUCGACCAGGGACUCGGCGAAAUCGACAUGGGGGUGAAGAUGCCCUCUACCCGCAGCCAGACGGAAAGACCCUGUGAACCUUUACUCUAGCUUGACAGUGGUAUUCGGAGCAGCUUGUGUAGGAUAGGUGGGAGACUGUGAAACCGGUGCGCUAGCGUCGGUGGAGUCAUCCUUGAAAUACCACCCUGGUUGUUUUGAAUGCCUAACCCCUUCGGGGAGACAUUGUCUGGUGGGGAGUUUGACUGGGGCGGUCGCCUCCUAAAGUGUAACGGAGGCGCACAAAGGUCCCCUCAGCCUGAUCGGAAACCAGGCGCAGAGUGCAAUGGCAUAAGGGGGCUUGACUGCAAGAUUGACAGAUCAAGCAGGUGGGAAACCAGGUCAUAGUGAUCCGGCGGUUCCGUAUGGAAGGGCCGUCGCUCAACGGAUAAAAGGUACUCCGGGGAUAACAGGCUUAUCGCGCCCAAGAGUUCAUAUCGACGGCGCGGUUUGGCACCUCGAUGUCGGCUCAUCGCAUCCUGGGGCUGGAGCAGGUCCCAAGGGUUUGGCUGUUCGCCAAUUAAAGCGGUACGCGAGCUGGGUUUAGAACGUCGUGAGACAGUUCGGUCCCUAUCUGCUGUGGGCGUAGGAGAGUUGAGAGGAGCUGACCUUAGUACGAGAGGACCGGGUUGGACGUACCGCUAGUGUUCCGGUUGUUGCGCCAGCAGCAUUGCCGGGUAGCCACGUACGGACAGGAUAACCGCUGAAAGCAUCUAAGCGGGAAGCCUCCCUCAAGAUGAGCUCUCCCUGAAGAACCCAAGAAGACUACUUGGUCGAUAGGCAGGACGUGUAAGCACAGCAAUGUGUUUAGCGAACCUGUACUAAUCGUUCGUUUGGCUGCCAG